RNAcentral lists this ribosomal RNA (468 nucleotides) under uncultured bacterium. RNAcentral describes it as "partial 16S ribosomal RNA". It matches the Rfam family "Bacterial small subunit ribosomal RNA", at positions 28 to 507 of the family's 1533-position model. The record is from RNAcentral.
GACGAACGCUGGCGGCGUGCUUAACACAUGCAAGUCGAACGGAAAGGCCCUGCUUUUGUGGGGUGCUCGAGUGGCGAACGGGUGAGUAACACGUGUGUAACCUGCCCUUGACUGUGGGAUAACUUCAGGAAACUGGGGCUAAUACCGGAUAGGAGCUCCUGCUGCAUGGUGGGGGUGGGAAAGUUUCGGCGGUUGGGGAUGGACUCGCGGCUUAUCAGCUUGUUGGUGGGGUAGUGGCUUACCAAGGCUUUGACGGGUAGCCGGCCUGAGAGGGUGACCGGCCACCUUGGGACUGGGAUACGGCCCAGACUCCUACGGGAGGCAGCGGUGGGGAAUCUUGCACAAUGGGCGGAAGCCUGAUGCGGCAACGCCGCGGGCGGGAUGACGGCCUUCGGGUUGUAAACCGCUUUCGCCUGUGACGAAGCGUGAGUGACGGUAAUGGGUAAAGAAGCACCGGCUAACUACGUG